Molecule: unclassified non-coding RNA, 873 nt
Filed under: Hevea brasiliensis (rubber tree)
Lineage: Eukaryota; Viridiplantae; Streptophyta; Magnoliopsida; Malpighiales; Euphorbiaceae
Source: RNAcentral
GGAAGAGAAGAAAGCUGAAUUCGUAAGUCGGUUGUUGUUGCUUCUAACUUUCAACUGAGAAAUUAUUAUCCCUUUCUUUUCUUACUGGCUUGUAAUUGAGUUUUUUUGCAGUUAGGGUUUUGUGAAUUGAUUAUUUCAAGGGUUUUGACUAUUUUUAUCGUUGGGGUUUUACUAUGAUGCAAUGCACUUUGGGGAUUUUAGUUGGUAGUGAAGCUUGAGUUAUGGGAAAUUGGAACCCAGAGGAGACAUUUUGAUGGAUGUUCUUAAAUGGGUUUCACUGUGUGGGUGCGAUAUGUAAAUGAUGCUUUGGAUGAAUUUGAAAUUUUGAACUUCGGGGCAAAAUUUGAGCUCUUCGAUGGGCUUUCCUCCCAUUUGUUAUUAGUUUUAUCAUCGGCGGUUAUGAGCUAUUGAUUUGACUGAUUCUGUAUUAGCAAUAAGAAUAUGAAUUUAACAUGUAGGUUAAGCAACGAUAAGGAUUUUAUAUGAAUUUAUAUCUCGACCUUUUUUUUGGGGUUUGUUCGUUUUCAUGGUUUAUUUGCUUAGUUUGACUUUAUUGGCAUGGAUACGGGUUCAUGGUUUUAUCAUACAGGGUCUUUAUAGUGGUGAAUUGCCCCUUAAGCAUGCUGAGCUUGAAUGGAAAAUCCAAAUGACAAGUUUAUAUGGUUAUGUCAUGCACUUGUCAUGCAGUUAAUACGUGUGCAAGGAAUAUUUGUAUCUGAGUCUGAGAUUUUUCCAAUCAUUGUUUUUAUUGACUUUGAUUCUAUACUUGGUUCUGGAUUCAAUAUUGAUUCAAAAGUUGCAUUUUCCAAAAAGAGUUUUCUCUCUGUAGCUCUUGAGAUUAAAGUUUCAUUUUUAUUUUAUUUUAUUUUAAUU